AGGACGAACGCUGGCGGCGUGCUUAACACAUGCAAGUCGAGCGGAAAGGCCUUUCGGGGUACUCGAGCGGCGAACGGGUGAGUAACACGUGAGUAAUCUGCCCAUCGCUUCAGGAUAGCCAUCGGAAACGGUGAUUAAUACUGGAUAUGACAUUCCUUCGCAUGUUGGGGUGUGGAAAGUUUUUUCGGCGGUGGAUGUGCUCGCGGCCUAUCAGCUUGUUGGUGGGGUAAUGGCCUACCAAGGCUUUGACGGGUAGCCGGCCUGAGAGGGUGACCGGCCACACUGGGACUGAGACACGGCCCAGACUCCUACGGGAGGCAGCAGUGGGGAAUAUUGGACAAUGGGCGGAAGCCUGAUCCAGCAACGCCGCGUGAGGAUGACGGCCUUCGGGUUCGUAAACCUCUUUCAGCACAGACGAAGUUUUGUCGUUUUUUGGUGUAAGUGACGGUAUGUAGCGAGAAGAAGGACCGGACCGAACUACCGU
This 484-nucleotide ribosomal RNA is filed under the name uncultured soil bacterium. Its description in RNAcentral is "bacterial SSU rRNA". It matches the Rfam family "Bacterial small subunit ribosomal RNA", at positions 26 to 525 of the family's 1533-position model. The record is from RNAcentral.